Molecule: ribosomal RNA, 1242 nt
Filed under: Triticum aestivum (bread wheat)
Lineage: Eukaryota; Viridiplantae; Streptophyta; Magnoliopsida; Poales; Poaceae
Description: partial small subunit ribosomal RNA
Source: RNAcentral
AUGGAGAUGGUGUCUUCCGGCCAUACCGCGGUGAACAUCAACGGGGAAAUCGGGCCCUACUUCCCCACUUCCUGUGGGGUUAGGCAGGGUGACCCCUUUUCCCUGUUUCUGUUCAAUAUGGUGGUUGAUGCCUUGGCCUCGAUCCUGGAUAAGGCCAAGGCCGCCGGCCACAUACUAGGCAUUACCCCGCACUUGGUGGAGGGAGGAGGCGUCUCCCUUCUCCAAUACGCUGAUGACACCAUCAUCAUGGUCCAAGGCUCGGCGCCUGAGAUCUCGAACCUCAAUUUCCUCCUGCUGUGUUUCCAGCACCUGUCAGGCCUCAGAAUAAAUUUUGAUAAAAGCGAGGUGAUGAUUCUGGGCUAUUCGCCCGAUGAGAGCCAGAGCAUCGCUAACCGGCUUAACUGUCGGUUGGGGACAUUCCCCACUACCUACCUGGGGGUCCCCAUUAGUGACUCCCGCCUGACCAUGGACGACCUACGGCCCUCGGUGCUCAAGCUCCAACACCGCAUCAAGCCGUGGCAGGGUCGUUGGCUCUCUAAGGCGGCUCGUACGAUCCUCAUCAAUUCGUCCCUUUCCAGCCUCCUCCUAUUCAUCAUGAGCUUCUACAGCUUCCCCGAGACUCUCCACCAUGGGAUUGGUUCGGUCCAGGCCCGGUUCUAUUGGGCGGGCGAGGGCGACAAGCAAAAGUACCAUAUGGUGCGCUGGUCUGAAAUCUGCAAGCCCCGGGAUCAAGGUGGUCUUGGUAUCAUGUCCUCCAAGCGCAUGAACCUGGCACUCCUCACUCGUUGGCUCUGGCGCAUUGCGAAUGGCGAUGGCAGCCUGUGGUUGCAGAUCGUGCGCCAGAAAUACCUGCGUGGUCAACCCCUCGCCUUCUGCGCCCGGACCGGAGGGUCCCAGUUCUGGCAAUCUGUCAUUCAGCUCCUACCGGUCCUCCGUAUUGGGACAUCCAUCUCGAUCGGAACUGGGUCAUCCACGCUGUUUUGGUUAGACCGCUGGGCUGGGGACCUCCCCUUCGCUGCGAGAUUCCCUGACCUCUUCUCCAUCGCCGUUGACCCGAGGAUUUCCGUUGAGACGGCCCUUAUUGACUUAGGGCGUCUCGUGUUCCGGCGGCCUUUUGCCCCCCCGGAAGUCGCUGCUUGGCACGAUCUCCUUGAUGCCGUCGCUCUUCAUGAGCCUGACCUCUCUCAGCCUCUUGACCGGUUGUCUUGGCGCCUGGAACCUUCAGGCCGCUUCUCCACGUAG